Molecule: long non-coding RNA, 432 nt
Organism: Rhineura floridana
Lineage: Eukaryota; Metazoa; Chordata; Lepidosauria; Squamata; Rhineuridae
Exons: 3
Source: RefSeq, a predicted model, not a curated record
CCGGCUCUUACUCCUGCGUUCAGACUCGCUGCGUCAGCCCAUCCUAACUGAGCCAUGCAGAUGGUUCACCUGUUCUUGGCUGUUCUGUCUGUGCUCCUCUUUGCAUCUUCAGGAUUUGCACAGUUCAAACCGAAGAGCAGACGGCAAUGCUACGCAGUCGACGGUGUUUGCCAGCUUUGGCCGUGUACCUAUCCCAUGGUGAAGGUCGGGAAAUGUGGUCUACUGAAAAAGUGUUGCAAAAGUAUGACACUGGAGGACUGAUUGCUGACUGCUUACCCACGAUCCUUUGAAGAAUGGGAGACUCUUCCUCACUCUGAAAGCCACUGGAUCCUGCUACAUCCCCUGCUGAAGAUGCUUGCUGCUUAGUCCCCAAAGCUUCCACUUCAAAAAAAGAAGCCACCUUUGAGACCUUUGCAAUGACCUGUAUGAGCU